Passer domesticus (house sparrow) is the source of this 468-nucleotide long non-coding RNA. RefSeq lists it as uncharacterized. The record is from RefSeq and is a predicted model, not a curated record. The transcript has 3 exons. Lineage: Eukaryota; Metazoa; Chordata; Aves; Passeriformes; Passeridae.
UCUGCUUGUGGGGUCUUUUACCAUUCGUAAUGUUGCAGGGCUGUAACCACACAUGGGUUUUGAAAUGGUGACUGAUUGUCUAGAGCUGACCAUCAAAAUCAGACAAAAACACAUUCUUCAAAUCAAAGCUGUACACUAAAGGAGAACAGUAGAGUGGUGACAAGUGCUUCUGAGCAUUGCCUUCAGAGAGGAUAUGGGGAAAAGGCUAUUUCCAGAAGCAAGGAGAAAACUCGUGUUUCAUACACAUUUGUACAGAAAGCCUCCAUCAUUGCAUGACUAAGAAGAAGAAGGAAACAGGGAUAAAGCAACCUGCUUACAGGCAUGCUGUAGCUGUGGUGGCCAUUUUUGCAUUUUCAGCUCAAUAGAAACAAGCACCAGACAAAAGCAGUGCAGACAUUUAACAGACAGCAGCCAGGAAUGCAGUGGCCAUUUGCUGGCACAUGACCAUAACUGAGCACAACUGAAAAA